GAUGAACGCUGGCGGCGUGCCUAAUACAUGCAAGUCGAGCGAACAGACGAGGAGCUUGCUCCUCUGACGUUAGCGGCGGACGGGUGAGUAACACGUGGAUAACCUACCUAUAAGACUGGGAUAACUUCGGGAAACCGGAGCUAAUACCGGAUAAUAUAUUGAACCGCAUGGUUCAAUAGUGAAAGACGGUUUUGCUGUCACUUAUAGAUGGAUCCGCGCCGCAUUAGCUAGUUGGUAAGGUAACGGCUUACCAAGGCAACGAUGCGUAGCCGACCUGAGAGGAUGAUCGGCCACACUGGAACUGAGACACGGUCCAGACUCCUACGGGAGGCAGCAGUGGGGAAUCUUCCGCAAUGGGCGAAAGCUUGACGGAGCAACGCCGCGUGAGUGAUGAAGGUCUUCGGAUCGUAAAACUCUGUUAUUAGGGAAGAACAAAUGUGUAAGUAACUAUGCACGUCUUGACGGUACCUAAUCAGAAAGCCACGGCUAACUACGUG
Molecule: ribosomal RNA, 497 nt
Filed under: uncultured bacterium
Lineage: Bacteria
Description: partial 16S ribosomal RNA
Rfam family: Bacterial small subunit ribosomal RNA
Source: RNAcentral